This 398-nucleotide long non-coding RNA is filed under the name Olea europaea (common olive). RNAcentral describes it as "long non-coding RNA (OEUR_LNC012363)". The record is from RNAcentral. Lineage: Eukaryota; Viridiplantae; Streptophyta; Magnoliopsida; Lamiales; Oleaceae.
AGUCUUCAAGUGGUUGAGUCUAGUCUGAAAAUCACCGUAACUUUUUGCCAAAUGUCUUCUUUAGGCUAGAAUCCUUAUCUUGUUUCAUAAUUAUAUCUGUCAAUGCUGUCUAAAGAGUCUCCUCCAUCAGUACAACCUUCUGGAUUAUCAUCUUCUUCUGAAUUAUUGUCUUCAAAAUUAUCCAAGUCUUUUUCUUGUUCAAUUUUCUUUUUUCCUUUAUUUUUCUUUUUAAUCUGUAUUUUCUUUUUCUUUGUAGUACUUUGUUUAACUUGUUGCUGUAUUUCUUCAAUCUUAUCAAACAUUUCUUUGAUUCUUCUAAUAUCUGAUUGAGAAAUCUGUUCUGGAUCUUGAGCUGAUUGAAAUGAUUCCGGAAAAUUGAUUGGGCUUUUCUGUUUAAG